AAACGCAGAAGGCAUCUUUAAUUUGACAGACCAAGAAUUAUCUAAAGAGACAAUGGAAGUUUUACAGAAAGGCCUAAAAUUUGCCCCUACCGCAGAUUUGAAUAAAUUUGAUCUGUUUAUAGAUGUCAAUAAAUUUAUUAGACAGUUAUGUUUAAAGAAAUUUUUCGCCAAUCAAAAGGAAACUCAGAAGGAAAAGGAAGAGGUUGUAUUAGAGUAUAAACAUACGGAUUUAAAAACAAAAUCCAACUUUUUUCCUAAAUACCUCAUCUCUGAUGAAAUUAAAGCGUUUGAAUUAAUGGUCACGAAAGAGAUAAGACAAAUUAGGCCAUUGAAUAAAUAACAAUACAAUAUGUCAAAUAAAGAAAAGAAUGUGGUUAAGGAAUUAAAACAAAAUAGAGAGAUGGUCAUCAAACCGGCAGAUAAGGGGGGGGGGGUUGUUAUAUCUUCAAGGUCAAGUUAUGUGCAAGAAGCAGAACGAAUUUUGUCUGACCCUCUCACAUAUCAAAAGUUGGAUAGAAAUCCAAUCGAGGAGAUAAAAAAGAAAUUUGAUGAAUAUAUUAAGAAAGGUUUAGAAAAGGAAAUACUAACAAUAGAUGAAGCUAAGUAUCUGUCUACUCCGCACCCUAAAACUCCGGUUUACUAUCAUUUACCAAAGGUACAUAAAGAUAGGAGAAAUCCACCGGGUAGACCAAUAAUAUCCGGGAUUGACUCCGUCUCAGCGAAGGUAUCAGAAUACUUAGAUAAAUUGUUGCAACCUCUGGUUGUAUGCAAUCCCGCUUAUCUAAAAGACACUAUACAUAUUUUGAAGCUUUUAGAAGAGACGACUUGGAAAGAGGGUAAUUUUUUGGUUACGUGCGACGUAACCUCUCUUUAUAGUAUCAUACCACAUAAGAUUGGAUUGGAAGCUGUGCAAUAUUUUUUAAGGAAACAUAAUUUUAAAGAGGAACAGAUUUUAUAUAUUUUAGAAGGCAUCCACCUGAUUUUAACUAACAAUUUUUUUGGUUUCAAGACGUUUUUUAUCUUCAAAUUCGGGGAACGGCGAUGGGCACCAAG
Non-coding RNA from Pelobates cultripes (western spadefoot toad), 1053 nucleotides. The record is from the annotation of a GenBank genome assembly. Lineage: Eukaryota; Metazoa; Chordata; Amphibia; Anura; Pelobatidae.